Molecule: unclassified non-coding RNA, 1217 nt
Filed under: Hevea brasiliensis (rubber tree)
Lineage: Eukaryota; Viridiplantae; Streptophyta; Magnoliopsida; Malpighiales; Euphorbiaceae
Source: RNAcentral
GCAGUCACUGCAGCUGAUGGGACCACCAAGUUGCUUAUAAAACUCGAAGACAACCGACUGGUCGAGACUGUUGGAAUUCCAGUUAAAGACAAUGAUGGUUCAUCUCGCUUGACAGCAUGUGUUUCAUCUCAGGUGGGCUGUCCGUUGCGCUGUUCGUUCUGUGCGACUGGCAAGGGAGGAUUCUCAAGGAACCUUAAGAGCCAUGAAAUCGUUGAGCAGGUGUUGGCAAUAGAAGAGCUAUUCAAGCAGAGAGUGACAAACGUUGUGUUUAUGGGUAUGGGUGAGCCAAUGUUGAACAUGAAAGAAGUCCUUGAAGCAUACCGUUGCCUGAAUAAGGAUAUUCUGAUUGGGCAAAGGAUGAUUACUAUUUCAACCGUUGGAGUUCCAAACACCAUAAAGAAGCUUGCAUCUUACAAACUUCAGUCUACGCUGGCUCUCAGCUUACAUGCUCCAAAUCAGAGUCUUCGAGAAAAGAUUGUACCAAGUGCAAAAUCCUACCCUUUGAAUGCAAUAAUGAAGGAUUGCAGGGACUACUUCCUGGAAACUAGAAGAAGGGUUUCCUUUGAAUAUACACUUCUAGCCGGAGUGAAUGAUUCCGUCAAGCAUGCAAUUGAACUGGCAGAAUUGCUUCAUGAAUGGGGUCGUGGCCAUCAUGUUAACUUAAUACCAUUCAAUCCAAUAGAUGGUUCGGAGUAUAAGCGUCCAUCCAAAAAAUCUGUUAUUGCAUUUGUCUCUGCUCUUGAAUCUCGUAAAGUAACUGCUAGUGUACGUCAAACAAGGGGACUUGAUGCAAGUGCUGCUUGUGGACAGUUGAGGAAUGAGUUUCAGAAGAGCCCUUUGCUUAGUGGAAGUAUAGAUCAGGAAUCUCAUUCUGAAGUUGCACUUGCAUCUUGAUAUCUUAAAUUCCUGAUAGCCUUGCUGAAAUUACAUGACUUGUGUGUUUAACCGUGUUAGCAGUAAUUGAGAGCUUCUUAAAGAACAAGUCUUGUCUGGGUAAAAGUUGCUUUAAGGUGGAGCAUAAAGAGUGGUUACAUGAAGGUGGUCUCAACUCUCAUGUUUGCAUGCCUUGUGAUGUUGGUGAAAUUUGUUCUUAUAGGAGCAUAAUUGAUCAAUUUUUUGAGCUUGUUCUUAUGGGCGUUUUCCUGUCUCAAAAUGCUCCUCUGUGCUCCAGCAAUGUAAAUAUUCAGUACUUAACGAGAUGAGAAAGGUAAUUUUUG